AUGAAAGAAACCAGAUCGCUGUUGUGUCUAAAAGCAUUCAUAAAAAUCCAGGUUUCAGAGUUUGCCAGAAAGCGGCCCGGGGUCAGAAAUGAGUAAUUUGACCAAAGUUUGAAGACAUACUGCGUGACACACAAUCAUUUGCCCAAAGAUUUCUUUACAUCACUAGAAAGACCAACAUCUGACUAAUCAACCAGCGAAGUUUCAAGCGACUGAGAGGUUAAGCACAUUCAGAAUGAAUAUUUUUGUAAGACCUACUUUUUGAUACUCUAAACACACGUCUAGCGAAUAAAAUUAUUUUGUUAUCUUAA
Long non-coding RNA from Actinia tenebrosa (Australian red waratah sea anemone), 308 nucleotides. NCBI's taxonomy places the organism in Eukaryota, Metazoa, Cnidaria, Anthozoa, Actiniaria, Actiniidae. The record is from RefSeq and is a predicted model, not a curated record.